CCAAAAUAUAAGCUAUUUAUAGAGCAAAAUAAAGAAGAGAUUGUAGGAAACGGAGAGGUAGACACUUUGGAGAUGGAGAUAGGGGAUUUGAGGAAGGAAGGAGGGGGAGGGCGAAGGGAGAGUAACACUGAUCAAGGUGUAAUACGUGUGUGUUCCAGUUUCCCAAGGUGAAUGUAAUUUUUGUGUUUCACAGACAUAUACUGAUAAGCAAAAGAAACUUAAGCAAGAAAAAAAAAGCUUGCCUCGCAAGCACAAGGACCCAAGUUUGAUCCUCGGUACCAAAAAAGAAAAAAAAAAAAGCUGAGAAAAUGGAGAUAACCCACUGGCUCCAUAACUUGUGUGUUGGCCAGACAUUUCUGAGUAAUAAAGCAGCAGACCCAUCUCAGUGACAUUGGCUUAGCUCACAGGGCUGAGCUGGCUCAGCUGUGGAUCUCCCUGGACCUGGCUCAUGCAUCAGCACAGCGAGGCUGCCAUAGGCUGUGGUGAGGGAUGUGGUCAGCACCCUGUACUUCUUGUCUGCCUUCGCCCAGCACGUGAGCUGAGGCACGUUCUUUUCUUGAAUGUUUGCACCUCUGGUUGGAGAAGAAUGCCAUGUCCUACCCCUGCGCUCAGACUAUUCCCUAUGACUCAAAGAAAACCUUGGAGUCUUCAAAUCCUCAACCAGAUUGAAGUGGAUUUAUCAGCUUCUUGUGC
RNAcentral lists this long non-coding RNA (693 nucleotides) under Fukomys damarensis (Damara mole-rat). Its description in RNAcentral is "lncRNA (ENSFDAG00000026161.1)". The record is from RNAcentral. Lineage: Eukaryota; Metazoa; Chordata; Mammalia; Rodentia; Bathyergidae.